AACGAACGCUGGCGGCAUGCCUAACACAUGCAAGUCGAACGAGACCUUCCGGCCUUGUUGCGCUCCUCUGCGUGCCGCGUGGGAACCUGCCCUUAGGUUCCCUAUCCCUCCCCGUAGGAGAUCCUCAUGCCGCUUAAUGUCUUCCGACCAAGGAUUUCUCGCCUUUGGAUGGGCCCGCGUUGGAUUCGCUAGUUGGUAGUGUACUAGCCUGCCAAGGCGACGAUCCAGAGCUGGUCGGUGAGGAUGAUUAGCCACAAUGGAACUGCGACACGGACUAGAAUGCGACGGGAGGGAGCAGUGGGGAAUAUUGGACAAGGGGCGAAAGCCUGAUCCAGCAAUGCCGCGGGAGAGAGGAAGGCGGUAGGGUUGUAAAGCUGUUUGACCCGGGAUGAGAAUGACAGUACCGGGAGAAUAAGCACCGGCUAACUACGUG
This 433-nucleotide ribosomal RNA is filed under the name uncultured bacterium. RNAcentral describes it as "partial 16S ribosomal RNA". It matches the Rfam family "Bacterial small subunit ribosomal RNA", at positions 29 to 507 of the family's 1533-position model. The record is from RNAcentral.